RNAcentral lists this long non-coding RNA (378 nucleotides) under Anser brachyrhynchus (Pink-footed goose). Its description in RNAcentral is "lncRNA (ENSABRG00000002789.1)". Lineage: Eukaryota; Metazoa; Chordata; Aves; Anseriformes; Anatidae. The record is from RNAcentral.
AUGGUGCUUGCUAUAGAGUCACAUCAGCCUCAGCAGGACCUGCAAGGAACCAGCUGUGGGCCAGUGGUGAUCACCAGGGCUGCACAACCUUGCACAAGUGACAGGUGGGCUCCAGACAGAGAGACCUGCACAACAAGCAAAUGCUGUCUUGGUAUGCCACAGAGGUCUUCUCUCUUUGUCUCCUUGAAUCUUCCCAAGAGAUCCAGCCUGGCCACACUGGUUUUGUGCUAACUGAUGCCUAGAAAAAUAUAGAAGCAGUAAAUAGGACAGAUCGAUGUGCGUUGAGCAAUUCACAGCUGCGCCAAAACUCUCAGCUGAACACUGGGGCUUCAGGAUUCAAACAGCCCAGAAGAAUUGAUCUGCUGAGUCCACAGCAUC